Molecule: transfer RNA, 84 nt
Filed under: Ulva lactuca
Lineage: Eukaryota; Viridiplantae; Chlorophyta; Ulvophyceae; Ulvales; Ulvaceae
Also listed under: 5 other names
Description: tRNA-Lys
Rfam family: tRNA
About the family: Transfer RNA (tRNA) molecules are approximately 80 nucleotides in length.
Source: RNAcentral
GCGUCCUUGCACAGAAUUGGUAAUGUAGCGAGCUUUUAACUCGUCACCCUUAGGGUAUUGUAGGUUCAAGUCCUACAGGGCGCA